CACAAGGAGUGAAGUUAUAAGUUUUUUUGCAUAUAGACACUCAAGCACAAGCAUUUUAUUAUCAUAUAUCUUUUAUUUGAAUUUUCAGUAUUUUACAUAUUUGAAAAGUUAGAUUACAAACAUAGAUUCAUUUUUUUUUCUCUUUAGUGUCAGAUGAACAUGUUGUAAUAUAAAUGAAGGCAAUCAAUUUAUAUACUCUCAAUUGAUGCUUGAGAGAUUUUUACGUGUUGUCAUACGAGCAAGUAAAUUAUACUUCCAUGAUGAUCCAAUCACAAAAAUUAUACACACCCACCCAGAAAGAGAAAUUCUGCACAAAUACAUAUGGGUGUCUACGGUUAUUUACUCAAGAUAUCAAAUCAUGUUAUUAUUAUCUACACGGCCCUUACAACAAUAUGGAAACAAUGAAGAUAAUGCUCCAAAAUAAAUCCGCCCAGUUGCGACGACCAGUGUUAUCACAAAAGAUGGUCUGGAUUCAGCUCAACACAUGCUCAAUAGCUUGUUGGCUAUUCUGCAAAGCCUUCAACCAUGCUGUGGAGUUGCCCAACAACCAAUUGAUGGCUUCUUCUUCUCGCAACCUGGCUGUGGAGACUGGUGGUGAAAAUCAACUAUCAUGACUCAUAUGCGGUAUAUAUAUGUGCUCACGCAUGUCAAAGAGAUGACAUGAACUCAUUCAGAACCUGUUAAGAUGAAGCUGUUGAAAAGAAAAAAGCACCAUCUUCAGGAUCUGAGGGAAGUAUAUUUAAACAAAAAAAUGGGGAAUGGAUUGGAGCAGCAGCAGGAACAUAAUCAUAUAAAAGAAUCAGAGAAUGCAGAGACCGGUGCCCUUUGGGAUCGACUUUUAUAUUUAAACUAAAUGUAUCUUUCUUUAUCCGCGCCUCUUAUAAUUAAUGUACAUAAGAAUGUAAGAAAACUGUUAGAUGUUGAAGUUGCAUUAUUAAUAUACAUUAAUUUGCUACAUACGCAUUGUAAUGAAAUUGUAUCAAAUGGAUGGUUUUUUUAGUA
Molecule: long non-coding RNA, 1002 nt
Organism: Daucus carota subsp. sativus
Lineage: Eukaryota; Viridiplantae; Streptophyta; Magnoliopsida; Apiales; Apiaceae
Exons: 5
Source: RefSeq, a predicted model, not a curated record